This 759-nucleotide long non-coding RNA is filed under the name Trifolium pratense (red clover). RNAcentral's name for it is "long non-coding RNA (TPRA_LNC013461)". The record is from RNAcentral. Lineage: Eukaryota; Viridiplantae; Streptophyta; Magnoliopsida; Fabales; Fabaceae.
CUCACUAUUCUUGCCUCUCAAAAGGCACAUAUAAAGAAAAUUGUUAUUUUGACACAGACUGUAGGCACUUUAUAUCCAACACCGACACUUCUGAUUGAAGGUUUGUUCGGUAUCCAACACCGACAUGACACCAACACAUGUGAUUAUAUUCAAUUACUUUAUUAUAUCAUAUUAUUAGUGGUAUCGACGUGUUAGUGUCGGUGCUUCAUAGAUUACAUGGUUAAUGUAAUUCAAAUACAUGAUUAAUUACGCCUUGUAGAAUGGUCAACAAAUAUACAAAUUUGAACACAACGAGUUUUUCACACAACACUGUCCAUUUCUUCAUGACAUGGUUAACGCAAUUCAAAUAGUAUGUUGUUAGUUACGUUCAGUAGAUGAUUAAUGAAUAUAACAAGGUGUUGCGACUCAUUAACCAUCAUAUGAACGUGGUGUAUUUGAACUGCAGUAUACAUGAUAUACAUUGACUAUCUAUUGAAUGCAAUCAAUUUGAACCGUAUAUCUGUGAAUAAAAUAGCAUACGGUGUCAUCAAAUUGUGUGCCGAAAUAACACAGCUGAUAAAUAUAAUCAAUAUUACUACAUUACUUGAUUACUAAGACAGCUAAAGAGAUGGGAAGAGAAAUCCAAGUGUACCUUUGAAACUGAAUUUGCUAGACCUGUUAUUUCUUCUAACAUCUCACAUUCUCACACAAGGAGCAUUAGACCACAAAGACUUGUCAAUACUAGGAUGAAAAUCAACCGUAACAAUUCUAUGAUCUUCC